RNAcentral lists this ribosomal RNA (759 nucleotides) under uncultured Actinomycetes bacterium. Its description in RNAcentral is "bacterial SSU rRNA". It matches the Rfam family "Bacterial small subunit ribosomal RNA", at positions 28 to 804 of the family's 1533-position model. The record is from RNAcentral. Lineage: Bacteria; Bacillati; Actinomycetota; Actinomycetes.
GACGAACGCUGGCGGCGUGCUUAACACAUGCAAGUCGAACGGUAAGGCCCUUCGGGGUACACGAGUGGCGAACGGGUGAGUAACACGUGGGUGAUCUGCCCUGCACUUUGGGAUAAGCCUGGGAAACUGGGUCUAAUACCAAAUACGACCGCAUCCUGCAUGGGGUGUGGUGGAAAGCUUUUGCGGUGUGGGAUGGGCCCGCGGCCUAUCAGCUUGUUGGUGGGGUGAUGGCCUACCAAGGCGACGACGGGUAGCCGGCCUGAGAGGGUGACCGGCCACACUGGGACUGGGAUACGGCCCAGACUCCUACGGGAGGCAGCAGUGGGGAAUAUUGCACAAUGGGCGCAAGCCUGAUGCAGCGACGCCGCGUGGGGGAUGACGGCCUUCGGGUUGUAAACCUCUUUCAGUAGGGACGAAGCGCAAGUGACGGUACCUAUAGAAGAAGGACCGGCCAACUACGUGCCAGCAGCCGCGGUAAUACGUAGGGUCCGAGCGUUGUCCGGAAUUACUGGGCGUAAAGAGCUCGUAGGUGGUUUGUCACGUUGUUCGUGAAAACCCACAACUCAAUUGUGGGCGUGCGGGCGAUACGGGCAGACUAGAGUACUGCAGGGGAGACUGGAAUUCCUGGUGUAGCGGUGGAAUGCGCAGAUAUCAGGAGGAACACCGGUGGCGAAGGCGGGUCUCUGGGCAGUAACUGACGCUGAGGAGCGAAAGCGUGGGGAGCGAACAGGAUUAGAUACCCUGGUAGUCCACGCCGUA